UAUCAAACAUUCGGUUAGAGAUGUAACGAGGGAACACGUUAGAUAAAUGGGGGUUGCCAGUCCAAAUUAAUGGUGAUAACAUGCUCUGAACGUAACAGAUUUCUGAAUUAAUGAGACAUUCUGUUAAAUACAAUCGGAUCAGCUGCUAUAUCAUCAAAAUAGUUUCUGUCCCAUUCAACCUAUAUAAGUCACCUUCUACCAAGCAGACGAUACGUGAACAAACCAAUAUUCAAAGAAAAUCAGGAUGCGUUUUCUGGGCUUGAUAGUUGUGUGUGUCCUGCUGGCAGUGGUCUCUGUCCACGGAUCCUCUCACGUAGGAGGAGGCACAGUGGGCUCAGGAGGAUCCGGAACCCGGCCCGCUGUCUCCCCAAUUCAGAUCGCCAAUCGAUAUCCACAGUUUCAACCGUACUUCCGACCCAGGCAGAAUUUCUGGAGACCUUUUUUCCUCUGGCACUUAUACGAAGCAUUUGAUUGAUAAACUGGAAAACAAAACAAAAACGUCUUGUGUUGCUCGCAUCAGUAUCUGUGUGCUGUAUGUUUCCCUUCCAGGCCACGUGACAUUAUGUGACGUAACAUUCUACAAGGACAUGUGAAACGUAUAAGUACUGCCGGGAAACCUCGCGUGACCUCGACAGUACGAGAAUGAACAGACAGCACAUGGGCGCCAUAUAUUGUCUGUAUAUUAUAUCUAAUUAACAGUUAUAUUUAUGUAUCAACCGUUAUAGUAAUAAGAAAUAAAAUAUCAUAACCUG
Gigantopelta aegis is the source of this 752-nucleotide long non-coding RNA. RefSeq lists it as uncharacterized. The transcript is spliced from 3 exons. The record is from RefSeq and is a predicted model, not a curated record. Lineage: Eukaryota; Metazoa; Mollusca; Gastropoda; Neomphalida; Peltospiridae.